AUUGAACGCUGGCGGCAUGCUUUACACAUGCAAGUCGAACGGUAACAGGGUGCUUGCACCGCUGACGAGUGGCGAACGGGUGAGUAAUACAUCGGAACGUGCCCAGUAAUGGGGGAUAACGCAGCGAAAGUUGUGCUAAUACCGCAUACGCCCUGAGGGGGAAAGUGGGGGAUCGCAAGACCUCAUGUUAUUGGAGCGGCCGAUGGCUGAUUAGCUAGUUGGUGAGGUAAAGGCUCACCAAGGCGACGAUCAGUAGCUGGUCUGAGAGGACGACCAGCCACACUGGGACUGAGACACGGCCCAGACUCCUACGGGAGGCAGCAGUGGGGAAUUUUGGACAAUGGGCGAAAGCCUGAUCCAGCAAUGCCGCGUGUGCGAAGAAGGCCUUCGGGUUGUAAAGCACUUUUGUCAGGGAAGAAGGGCUUACAGCGAAUACCUGUGAGUUUUGACGUUACCGACAGAAUAAGCACCGGCUAACUUCGUGCCAGCAGCCGCCGUAA
This 500-nucleotide ribosomal RNA is filed under the name uncultured bacterium. RNAcentral's name for it is "partial 16S ribosomal RNA". It matches the Rfam family "Bacterial small subunit ribosomal RNA", at positions 30 to 523 of the family's 1533-position model. The record is from RNAcentral.